CCUACGGGAGGCAGCAGUAGGGAAUAUUGCUCAAUGGGGGAAACCCUGAAGCAGCAACGCCGCGUGGAGGAUGAAGGUUUUCGGAUUGUAAACUCCUUUUGUUAGAGAAGAUAAUGACGGUAUCUAACGAAUAAGCACCGGAUAACUCCGUGCCAGCAGCCGCGGUAAUACGGAGGGUGCAAGCGUUACUCGGAAUCACUGGGCGUAAAGAGCGCGUAGGCGGGAUAGCAAGUCAGAUGUGAAAUCCUAUGGCUUAACCAUAGAACUGCAUUUGAAACUGUUAUUCUAGAGUAUGGGAGAGGUAGGUGGAAUUCGUGGUGUAGGGGUAAAAUCCGUAGAGAUCCAGAGGAAUACUCAUUGCGAAGGCGACCUGCUAGAACAUAACUGACGCUGAUGCGCGAAAGCGUGGGGAGCGAACAGGAUUAGAUACCCCUGUAGUC
This 440-nucleotide ribosomal RNA is filed under the name uncultured bacterium. RNAcentral's name for it is "partial 16S ribosomal RNA". It matches the Rfam family "Bacterial small subunit ribosomal RNA", at positions 338 to 795 of the family's 1533-position model. The record is from RNAcentral.